This is a long non-coding RNA of Ricinus communis (castor bean), 1121 nucleotides long. RefSeq lists it as uncharacterized. The record is from RefSeq and is a predicted model, not a curated record. NCBI's taxonomy places the organism in Eukaryota, Viridiplantae, Streptophyta, Magnoliopsida, Malpighiales, Euphorbiaceae. The transcript is spliced from 3 exons.
AAAUUUUAUUUUCCUUCUUUUUUCUUCCUUCUUCUUCCUUCCUUUUUUUUUUCCCUUGUCACCUCCUUUUCCUCCCUCACCGUCUUUCUUUUUUCAUUGCCUUCCACCUCCUCUAGCCAUCGGCAGCUUCCUCAUUUUUUUCUCUUCCCUCGUCGGCGAUGCCUCCUCCUUCCUCUCCCUCGCUACCAAAGUCAAAUGUGGAGAAAGGAGUUGCCGCCGCCGAAACAGCCUCAUGCCACCAUCCUUUCGCUUGCCUAAUGCCGAAAACGAGCUCCCCGCCAUCGAAAAAUCCCGAGCUGUGCUUCUCAGUUGCUUUAUCCCCACCGACAACUAUGUGCAACCUCACUGGAGCCAAAGACUUUCUGGCCUCGAUUCGAUGGCUUCCGGCAAGGUUCCGGCAAAAAGCAGUUACAUUCUCUGAUUCCUUGCAAUCAAGCUUCGCAUAAUCCGUUCGUCCAGCCAACUCCACCCGAGGCGUAGGAGCAGACUGCAGGGCACGAUAUCCUUAUUGUCAUCUAUUAUCAUUAUUAUUAUUAUUAUUAUUUAAUUAUUUUUGGCUAUUAUCUAUAUUUCUUGUUUUAUUAUUAUUAUAUAUAAUUCUAAUGUCUGCUAUAAUUGUAACUUCGGGAUGAGACGGCAGUAGAACAUGCCACAUGAUGGGUUGCAUCAGGAUCGCGUGCGCAUCGAUAUUAAUCAGAGACAGGUAGUAAAAGAUUAUUUUUGGAAUUUUCCCUGGUCGAGUACAACUCUCUAGGCUGUAAAAAUUUGACUGUCGAAGGAAGGUCCCUGGUCAAGUGUUGCUCUCUAGGCACCGGCUUAUUUAGGAAUCAAGUGACCAGGCUGAAUUUAAGGACCUUGGUUGAGCUUCGCUCUCUUGGCGUCAGUCAUAUUUGAAUAAGAAAGCCGAAAGGUUGCUAGUAUUGGGGUUAAAGUUCUGCUGAGGUGACAGCUAAGUUCUCCUUUGUCUUACUCUUGACGACCCGACUCCCUUCUCCUUCGGGCUUAUUGUAAUUAAUUUCUACUUUUACAUUUGAAACUAUUUAAAAUUCUAGACUAUUUGUAGUAGUAUAUCUAGCAUAUUAUGCUUGAAUUUAGUAUGUAACAAGUUAUGGAAUGUUUGC